RNAcentral lists this ribosomal RNA (678 nucleotides) under uncultured Lachnospiraceae bacterium. RNAcentral's name for it is "bacterial SSU rRNA". It matches the Rfam family "Bacterial small subunit ribosomal RNA", at positions 56 to 735 of the family's 1533-position model. Lineage: Bacteria; Bacillati; Bacillota; Clostridia; Lachnospirales; Lachnospiraceae. The record is from RNAcentral.
UGCAAGUCGAACGGGAAACAUUUCAUUGAGGCUUCGGCGGAUUUGAUCUGUUUCUAGUGGCGGACGGGUGAGUAACGCGUGGGUAACCUGCCUUAUACUGGGGGAUAACAGCCAGAAAUGACUGCUAAUACCGCAUAAGCGCACAGAACCGCAUGGUUCCGUGUGAAAAACUCCGGUGGUAUAAGAUGGACCCGCGUUGGAUUAGCUAGUUGGCAGGGCAGCGGCCUACCAAGGCGACGAUCCAUAGCCGGCCUGAGAGGGUGAACGGCCACAUUGGGACUGAGACACGGCCCAGACUCCUACGGGAGGCAGCAGUGGGGAAUAUUGCACAAUGGGGGAAACCCUGAUGCAGCGACGCCGCGUGAAGGAAGAAGUAUCUCGGUAUGUAAACUUCUAUCAGCAGGGAAGAUAAUGACGGUACCUGACUAAGAAGCCCCGGCUAACUACGUGCCAGCAGCCGCGGUAAUACGUAGGGGGCAAGCGUUAUCCGGAUUUACUGGGUGUAAAGGGAGCGUAGACGGCGCAGCAAGUCUGAUGUGAAAGGCAGGGGCUUAACCCCUGGACCGCAUUGGAAACUGCUGUGCUUGAGUGCCGGAGGGGUAAGCGGAAUUCCUAGUGUAGCGGUGAAAUGCGUAGAUAUUAGGAGGAACACCAGUGGCGAAGGCGGCUUACUGGACG